Molecule: transfer RNA, 88 nt
Filed under: Mucilaginibacter mali
Lineage: Bacteria; Pseudomonadati; Bacteroidota; Sphingobacteriia; Sphingobacteriales; Sphingobacteriaceae
Rfam family: tRNA
About the family: Transfer RNA (tRNA) molecules are approximately 80 nucleotides in length. Their secondary structure includes four short double-helical elements and three loops (D, anti-codon, and T loops).
Source: Rfam by way of RNAcentral
GGAGGGGUGUCUGAGUGGUCGAAAGAGCACGCCUGGAAAGUGUGUAUACGCCAAAAGUGUAUCGAGGGUUCGAAUCCCUCCUCCUCCG